This is a long non-coding RNA of Mesocricetus auratus (golden hamster), 477 nucleotides long. RefSeq lists it as uncharacterized. The transcript is spliced from 4 exons. Lineage: Eukaryota; Metazoa; Chordata; Mammalia; Rodentia; Cricetidae. The record is from RefSeq and is a predicted model, not a curated record.
GCUCCACACUUCCUUUCCGCGCAGCGCUUGGGAGUGCGAGCUGCUCGUGCAGCAUGGCGGGCGGCGGAGGCCCGGGGCUGCGGAACCCGGCCCGUCCUCGGGCUCUUCCAGGUGCAGCAAAACCUGUCUCUUGAAGAUGCCUGAACAAAUGUUUUCCAUUUAAACAAGCCACCAGGACUACAGUUGCCAGUAACACGGUACAAUACUAAGCAUGUAGGUAGCUUCAGGUGAAUGUCCAACUUGAGUAGCUGUGAUGUUUACAAACACUUCAUUGUUUUGGGGAGCUGCAGCACACAUUUUGGAUGUAAAAUGAAGGAUUGGUCAAGAAACCGUGAACAGAAACAAAUGAUGAGAAUUAGUAUUUUAUUUGGUAUUAAGUAAUAUGUAGAAUUUUAGUUGCAGUGGGCAAUAAUUUCUUUAAAAUGUAUGUCUAAAAGUGUCGUUCUCAUAGUAAAAUAAAGUUCUUAUCUUUUAUGA